CUACGGGGGGCACCAGUGAGGAAUAUUGGACAAUGGGCGAGAGCCUGAUCCAGCCAUGCCGCGUGCAGGAAGACUGCCCUAUGGGUUGUAAACUGCUUUUAUACGGGAAGAAACACCGCUACGUGUAGCGGCUUGACGGUACCGUAAGAAUAAGGAUCGGCUAACUCCGUGCCAGCAGCCGCGGUAAUACGGAGGAUCCAAGCGUUAUCCGGAAUCAUUGGGUUUAAAGGGUCCGUAGGUGGAUAAUUAAGUCAGAGGUGAAAUCCUGCAGCUCAACUGUAGAAUUGCCUUUGAUACUGGUUGUCUUGAGUUAUUAUGAAGUAGUUAGAAUAUGUAGUGUAGCGGUGAAAUGCAUAGAUAUUACAUAGAAUACCAAUUGCGAAGGCAGAUUACUAAUAAUGAACUGACACUGAUGGACGAAAGCGUGGGGAGCGAACAGGAUUAGAUAACCCAGUAGUC
Molecule: ribosomal RNA, 459 nt
Filed under: uncultured bacterium
Lineage: Bacteria
Description: partial 16S ribosomal RNA
Rfam family: Bacterial small subunit ribosomal RNA
Source: RNAcentral